AGAUCCAAUAUGCUAUGAGUGCUAAGAAAUCCCGGUGUGGAAAAGGGAUUAUGACAUAUUUGGCAUUGAUGAGCAACUUCAUGUUAUAGACAAGGUUGAAAUGCAAUAUGCUGGGGAAAACUUUUCACAUGUAGAGCUUCCGGUACUACAUCCUGCUGCUUAUGAUUCUGGAGAUGAUGCUUUUAAUGUUAUUAGCUUUACAAAUUUUCAGUCGAUAUUUCAAAAUUCCAAACCAUGGCUAAUACAGGUAUAUUCAUCUGGGAGUAACCGCUGUGCUGAGUUUUCUAAUGCUUGGAAAA
This is a non-coding RNA of Carica papaya (papaya), 299 nucleotides long. The record is from RefSeq and is a predicted model, not a curated record. Lineage: Eukaryota; Viridiplantae; Streptophyta; Magnoliopsida; Brassicales; Caricaceae.